RNAcentral lists this ribosomal RNA (450 nucleotides) under uncultured bacterium. RNAcentral describes it as "partial 16S ribosomal RNA". It matches the Rfam family "Bacterial small subunit ribosomal RNA", at positions 354 to 796 of the family's 1533-position model. The record is from RNAcentral.
GUGGGGAAUAUUCCGCAAUGGACGAAAGUCUGACGGAGCAACGCCGCGUGAGUGAUGAAGGUUUUCGGACUGUAAAGCUCUGUUGUUUGGGACGAAAGUGCCUGUUGCGAACAGUUACGGGUAUUGACGGUACUAAACGAGGAAGCCACGGCUAACUACGUGCCAGCAGCCGCGGUAAUACGUAGGUGGCAAGCGUUGUCCGGAAUUAUUGGGCGUAAAGAGCAUGUAGGCGGGAAUCUAAGUCUGUUGUUAAAAUGCGGGGCUCAACCCCGUAUUGCGAUGGAAACUGGGUUUCUUGAGUGCAGGAGAGGAAAGGGGAAUUCCCAGUGUAGCGGUGAAAUGCGUAGAUAUUGGGAGGAACACCAGUGGCGAAGGCGGUUUGCUGGGCCAUAACUGACGCUGAGGCACGAAAGCGUGGGGAGCAAAUAGGAUUAGAAACCCGAGUAGUCC